Molecule: ribosomal RNA, 1530 nt
Filed under: Salmonella enterica subsp. enterica serovar Typhimurium str. DT104
Lineage: Bacteria; Pseudomonadati; Pseudomonadota; Gammaproteobacteria; Enterobacterales; Enterobacteriaceae
Description: bacterial LSU rRNA
Rfam family: Bacterial large subunit ribosomal RNA
Source: RNAcentral
GAUGGGAAACGGGUUAAUAUUCCCGUACUUGGUGUUACUGCGAAGGGGGGACGGAGAAGGCUAUGUUGGCCGGGCGACGGUUGUCCCGGUUUAAGCGUGUAGGUGUGUGUUCCAGGUAAAUCCGGUUCACUUUAACACUGAGGCGUGACGACGAGGCACUACGGUGCUGAAGCAACAAAUGCCCUGCUUCCAGGAAAAGCCUCUAAGCAUCAGGUAACACGAAAUCGUACCCCAAACCGACACAGGUGGUCAGGUAGAGAAUACCAAGGCGCUUGAGAGAACUCGGGUGAAGGAACUAGGCAAAAUGGUGCCGUAACUUCGGGAGAAGGCACGCUGACACGUAGGUGAAGUGAUUUACUCAUGGAGCUGAAGUCAGUCGAAGAUACCAGCUGGCUGCAACUGUUUAUUAAAAACACAGCACUGUGCAAACACGAAAGUGGACGUAUACGGUGUGACGCCUGCCCGGUGCCGGAAGGUUAAUUGAUGGGGUCAGCGCAAGCGAAGCUCCUGAUCGAAGCCCCGGUAAACGGCGGCCGUAACUAUAACGGUCCUAAGGUAGCGAAAUUCCUUGUCGGGUAAGUUCCGACCUGCACGAAUGGCGUAAUGAUGGCCAGGCUGUCUCCACCCGAGACUCAGUGAAAUUGAACUCGCUGUGAAGAUGCAGUGUACCCGCGGCAAGACGGAAAGACCCCGUGAACCUUUACUAUAGCUUGACACUGAACAUUGAGCCUUGAUGUGUAGGAUAGGUGGGAGGCUUUGAAGUGUGGACGCCAGUCUGCAUGGAGCCGACCUUGAAAUACCACCCUUUAAUGUUUGAUGUUCUAACGUGGACCCGUAAUCCGGGUUGCGGACAGUGUCUGGUGGGUAGUUUGACUGGGGCGGUCUCCUCCUAAAGAGUAACGGAGGAGCACGAAGGUUGGCUAAUCCUGGUCGGACAUCAGGAGGUUAGUGCAAUGGCAUAAGCCAGCUUGACUGCGAGCGUGACGGCGCGAGCAGGUGCGAAAGCAGGUCAUAGUGAUCCGGUGGUUCUGAAUGGAAGGGCCAUCGCUCAACGGAUAAAAGGUACUCCGGGGAUAACAGGCUGAUACCGCCCAAGAGUUCAUAUCGACGGCGGUGUUUGGCACCUCGAUGUCGGCUCAUCACAUCCUGGGGCUGAAGUAGGUCCCAAGGGUAUGGCUGUUCGCCAUUUAAAGUGGUACGCGAGCUGGGUUUAGAACGUCGUGAGACAGUUCGGUCCCUAUCUGCCGUGGGCGCUGGAGAACUGAGGGGGGCUGCUCCUAGUACGAGAGGACCGGAGUGGACGCAUCACUGGUGUUCGGGUUGUCAUGCCAAUGGCACUGCCCGGUAGCUAAAUGCGGAAGAGAUAAGUGCUGAAAGCAUCUAAGCACGAAACUUGCCCCGAGAUGAGUUCUCCCUGAGACUUAGAGUCUCCUGAAGGAACGUUGAAGACGACGACGUUGAUAGGCCGGGUGUGUAAGCGCAGCGAUGCGUUGAGCUAACCGGUACUAAUGAACCGUGAGGCUUAACCUU